UUUGCCAAAGCCCAGUUGGUAGGGCAUGAGACCCUUAAUCUCAGGGUCAUGGGUUCAAGCCUCAUGUUGGGCAAAA
This is a non-coding RNA of Podarcis lilfordi (Lilford's wall lizard), 76 nucleotides long. NCBI's taxonomy places the organism in Eukaryota, Metazoa, Chordata, Lepidosauria, Squamata, Lacertidae. The record is from the annotation of a GenBank genome assembly.